GCCAGCGUAACCUGCUCCAUGGUUGGAUUGAAAGAGAGACACUUUGAGGCACCUGAAUUUGUUGAAAUGACAAAAAAGGAAAAGAGGAGUCUUCCAUCACACAGUCUGGACUAAAGGAUAUAAUUACCUGAGAGUGGAAGGAUAAAAAAUCUGCAUCCGAGGACACGCACCUGCUCCUGGAGAAGGAUUUUUAGCAGCACUCUGCCUUCCUCAGUCAACAAGUGUGUGUUUGUGUGUGUUAGUAUGUGCGUUCUAUGUGGUCUGUCCUGUUUUUGGAUUUGAUUGUGUGUGUGUGAGAGGUGGCCACAUGGGGCCCUGGCCCUGUCCGGGAUGCCAGCUGCAGCAUUGAAGCCCACUCCGGAGGACAUGGUGGCGGAGGGAGGGGGCGAGGGAGAGCGUGGUGCGUCCCAGUGGGAAGCCUCUGGGCCGGGCCGGGAGCGACUGCCUCUGCCUUCUCUAAAGGUCCCCAGGGAGCUGCUGCGGAGCUUCCCCCACUCCAAACGGGUCGGAUCCUAUCUGGUGGGGAAAAUGAUCAACAAGGGAUCGUUUGCCAAAGUGAUGGAGGGGCUGCACAUCGGCACGGGCGAAAAGGUGGCCAUUAAGGUCAUCGACAAGAAGAAAGCACGGCAGGACUCGUACGUGUUGAAGAACAUGAAGAGAGAACCUCGCAUUCAUCAGAUGGUCCGACAUCCUCACAUUGUCGUCCUGCUGGAGACUCUGGAGACAGAGAACAGCUACUACAUGGCCAUGGAGCUCUGUGCUGGAGGAGACCUGAUGGACAGGAUCUGUGACAGGAAGAGGCUGGAGGAGAGGGAGGUGCGGCGCUACACUCGUCAGAUCCUCUCUGCAGUGGAACACCUGCACAAACACGGCAUUGUACACAGAGAUUUGAAGAUUGAAAACUUCCUGCUGGACGAACACAACAACAUAAAGAUUGUGGACUUUGGCCUCAGUAACACUCUGAAGGCUGAAUCUUUGUCUCUGGAGCUCCUCAACACCCAGUGUGGAAGUCCUGCCUACGCCGCCCCUGAGCUGCUCGCUCACAGGAAGUAUGGGCCCAAAGUGGACGUCUGGUCAGUAGGUGUGAGUAUGUUUGCCAUGCUGACGGGGACUCUGCCCUUCACUGUUGAGCCUUUCAACAUCAAGCAGCUGCACCAGAAGAUGGUCAACGGAGAGAUCAGCAGCAUCCCCAGUGACGUCAGCAAAGGUGCGGUGGCGUUUGUGUUGUCUCUCCUGGAGCCAGACCCGGCAAAGAGACCCAGUAUCAGAGCUGCGAUGGAGGAGAGAUGGAUCAACGAGGGAUAUGCCAAGAAACCACUGCACACACUGUCUCAUAAAAACAGGCUGAGCCCAGAGGAUCUCAACUCGUCUGUGCUGGCGUACAUGACGGAGACGCUGGGCUACUCGCUCUCUGAAAUCAUUCACACGCUCACCAUCAACCGACCGUCCGCCAUCAUGGCCUCCUAUCACCUGCUGCUCAACAAGCUCAGCAGGAGCCAGAAGGGAGCCAAGGCCAGCAAGAAACUGGAAAACAAUGACUGGACUCUUCCGAGCAAGAACACAUGGAGAGAGAGGCACAACACUGACUCAAAGACUCAGCAACAGAGUGAACCAACCAAUGAAAAAGGCUCGAAACAGUCCAGCAGGCCUCUGAGAGCCCAACAGACAGCUGAAUGUCAGAGCAACAAGAAGAGGUCUGAGGAGCUGCACAGGAAGGACCACAGAGAGGACGCAGAGAACCGUCCACCUUCUCCAUCUCUACCCCAGCUUCCUCACUCUGCCUCCCCUUCAAUACCCCCUCGCCUCCCCUCCCCCUCCCCUGCCCCUCUUUCUACAGAGGAUGGAGCCACUGAUGAGGAGAUCGCCAUCACCUUGGACACCAGAGAGACACUGUUUCCUGAAGUGUCUGUGUUCGGAGACAGGGAACUCGUCCAUCUUUCUCCUCCUAAAAGCUCUGCAUCUCAACUCUGUGACUCUGCCCCUUGCCAAGUCCCGUUACCCCCCGAGCCAAUCAGAGACAGCAGCACAUCGAGGCCGAUCCGACACACACACCUGCUCAGGACGACUCAGUCAGACGGGGCGGCAGACCCUGGGUCAGACUGCUUCCACGACAACCGCCACCAGGACGACCACUCUCAUCACCUGAGCAUCAACGAGCGCCUGGAGAAGCUGCAGACGUUUUAUUCUUCAGAGAAGAGCGGCAUCUCUCCCAGGAUGCUGCUGGAGGCCGACACACACACCACACACCCCUCAGACAGAGACCACCUGGGUACCAUGGAGACGACACGGACGUCACCCUCUGCCCCACUGCCCCGCCUGCGCAACGUGGGGCUGAAAGAUGGACGAGGUAGGAAGAUGACAUGGGUAGGGUUGACCCGACCUGGGCCCCCAGGACUCCUGGUGAACGGGUCUAAACCUCCUGCCUUCCCCUCGCAGAGACAACAUACUUUGGUCAUUAAGAGCCUCCGGCAGGAGAGGGGCAAGAGACGGGAUCUGUCGUCAGGAGCAGGAGGAGGAGGAGGAGGAGGAGGAGGAGAGAGAGGGACGGCAGGAGGAGGGCUGAACGGAACAAAGAGGAACUCAGUUCAGUUACGUUCAUCUCUCCAGCGUCGGGUGGCGGACCUGAAUCUGCCGCUGCUUCCUGCAGCCCUGCAGGGGAAGACAGAUAGGAAGAACCAGCUACACAGCAUGGACUACUGAUAGAUGGGAGGACACAAUAGAGAGGCAGUGAUAGAGGCCAGAAAAGGUGCAAUGAGAGGAGAGGAUAGUCCUGAGGUUGGUGACACAUUUAGGAAGCAGUUAAGCAAUUAAAGGUCCAGUGUGUAGGAUUUAGGGGGAUUUAGUGGCAUCUAGCGAUUAGGACUGCAUAUUGCAACCAGCUGAAACUUCUCACGGCUAGAAUUCCUUCAUUGUUCAGGAGGUUUUUACCGAGGGCUGAAAUAUCUGCAGAGGUCUCUUCCUCUACAAAACAAACAGACCAAGUGAUUAAAAAACGAUAAAAACACUGAAUAAAACAGCUGCAUGAUACAAAUUAGUGUUUCUCCGAUGCUGUUCGGCUUGUUAGACACGCCAUUAGCCCAGCACCUGCUAAUGUGUGCUCACCUUUUUUCUUCGAUAACUUAAGAUCCAGACAUUCAGGAGGGUUUUUGCCAGGAGCCAAAUUAUCCACACAGGUCUCCUCCUCUUCAAAAGAAGCAGACCCAGUGAUUUAAACUGGUAAAAACACUGAAAAGAGUUGUGUCACGUAAAAAAAUAAGUGUUUUUUCUAUCCUUUCAUGGAGUGGGGCCGAUGUGAAAACAUAAAUGGCCCUUUAGCUAUGUUUGGUUUGUCCAUUCUGGGCUUUUAUAGAAACAUGGUGGUACAACAUGGUCAUUUCCUGGACCCGCUCCCUGUGUAGGUAUGAACAGCUCAUUCUAAGGUAAUGAAACACAACGGCUUUUAUUUUCAGGUGAUUAUACACUAAAGAAAACAUACUUAUUAGUAUGUCAUAUUCCAUUUCUGUAUAUCCCCCUAAAUCCUACACACAGGACAUUUGAGAAAUACUGGCCUGUAUUAAAAGAAGUGCCUGUUUUAUGUUAGAUUUGUAAAGAAUCUUUGUUUUUUUUGGGUGCCUCCAGUGAACAAAGAAUUCAAAAAUGGAGAAAAUUCAUGAUGAAUAAAAAUAAAUGGGGUCCACGUUUAACAAAGGCAAAACUACGUCAAAAGGGUUCGAAAUUCACCAAAGUCACACAAUAACACAAACAAAGAAAUUGAUCAAGGCAGCAGCAGACCCGCAGCUCCUGUGUUCAGCGAGGUUAAAUUACUGUAAUUUUCAGUCUGGAUUUCCAGAGAGCAUAGAUAAGUUUCACUUAGUUUAGUUCCCUGUCAGAGAGGGUUGUCUGUUUGGGAAGUACUGAGCAUACAACUCGAGAAAUGAGACUUGGAUUAUACUAUACGAGUUGGGUAAGAGUUUGUAAAAUGGAUGUUGCAAUAUAGUUUUGCUGUUGUCAAACACGAAACCCUUUUACUUCAAUUUAUGAAGAAUUGACCUAUGGCUAAGUCCCGCCCUCAGACGCGAUGAGCCAAUCACAGUGCGUAUAGCCAUUCCCAUACACUCGGACAUUCUCUGCCUGGACGUCCAUUGAAAUGCAUUACAGAAAGUCAGUUUUGUUCGGUUUUAUGAGCUUUCUCUGAGAUUUGAAGUUUAAAAAUGGUCAAACGGUGUGCAUGGGGUACAUGCAACUCUGACACAAGGCAUCCUGAGAGGCUGGGCGACGAGGUGUAUUUUUGGGAACUGCCCAUUGGUUCGACACCCCAUUGUUCCGACCAUAUUAAACUCAUUGUUCCGAAGUCUGUUCCGAAAUCAUCAUGAUGCCCUGUGGUUAAGGUCUGGUUAGGUUUAGGCACAAAAAACACUUGGUUAGGGUCAGGAAAAGAUCAUGGUGUGGGUUAAAAUGAAAAAGAAAGUGACAAACACAUAAGCCGUG
Epinephelus moara (kelp grouper) is the source of this 4467-nucleotide RNA transcript. It is a transcript of the gene named hormonally up-regulated neu tumor-associated kinase, with no coding region annotated. The record is from RefSeq and is a predicted model, not a curated record. NCBI's taxonomy places the organism in Eukaryota, Metazoa, Chordata, Actinopteri, Perciformes, Serranidae. The transcript has 12 exons.